GCGCGGAUAGCUCAGCUGGUUAGAGUGCCGUCUUGACAUGGCGGAGGUCGUGGGUUCGAGCCCCACUCUGCGCA
This 74-nucleotide transfer RNA is filed under the name Succiniclasticum ruminis DSM 9236. It matches the Rfam family "tRNA". From Rfam's summary of the family: Transfer RNA (tRNA) molecules are approximately 80 nucleotides in length. Their secondary structure includes four short double-helical elements and three loops (D, anti-codon, and T loops). Lineage: Bacteria; Bacillati; Bacillota; Negativicutes; Acidaminococcales; Acidaminococcaceae. The record is from Rfam by way of RNAcentral.